Non-coding RNA from Camellia sinensis, 863 nucleotides. Lineage: Eukaryota; Viridiplantae; Streptophyta; Magnoliopsida; Ericales; Theaceae. The record is from RefSeq and is a predicted model, not a curated record.
AAACAUCUGACAUUUGUUUUUAAUAAAAAAAUGAAUCAAAAUCUCUACCGCUGGAUUGCUGUCCUCUUUCUUUUUACAACAAACUCGAAUCUAGGUGUAAAACUCUAGUUCUCUCUCUCUCUCUCUCUCUCUCUCACGCACACACAAAAUCGCACACCCACCCAAUUGCCUCUUUAUCUCUCUUUCUUCCUCUCACCCAAUCGCACAAGUGCACCAUUGCAGAUCGCAGUUUCUGUUGCGGACUGAUUUCCAUUGCUGCCUUCCGCUGAUUGCUUUAUUUCACUUUUAGGAGGUAUCGUGAAGUAUCUAAAAGAGAGGACCUUGUUCAGACGACAAUGACGCUGAUUUAGGUUAAAUCAGAUGUAUGAACUGCUCAGUGAACUUGGAAUUUGUCUCCAAGUCAACUUGAUGGGGUGUUGGAAGAAAAUCUUGAUUGGGAGGAUAUCAAGUGGUCACAAACUGGUGUUUUCAUAGCUGGACAGGAGUAUCCUCUUGCUCGGGUGCAUUUCUUAUCAUCAUAACUAGCUGAAGCUCUUCUCCAGUAAAUUUCCAGUACCCAAUAUAUGUAAGAAUAAUAAUACUCUAAAUUUAUAUAUGGAGAGGGUUGUUUUUUGCUAAAUAAUGCUGAAUAUUAAAUUAUAUUAGAGUCAGACUUGUGUAAUUUAGUAGGUGUUUAAAAUUUUAACAAUUAUCUGUAUUGAUUUUGUGAAAUAGAUAUAUAAUGGUAUUUGAACUGUUUGAUGUACACCAGCUUCAACUUAUUGGCUUUAUUUUAUUUUAUGCUUCCCUAACCAUUUGUUGAGAGUUGAAGCCAACAUUAUUUUUGCUUAUACAAAUAACCGAACUUGGUUUAUUCCUUGUUA